UAUUAUCUUUCCAAGGAGGGGAAGGCAAUGUCCAUCUCUGUACCCAGCUUUCACUUUAGAUUUUGUGAAAGAACACCGACACCUGAGAGCAUACCCAAAAUGUCUUUGGUUGCCUUUGGAUGCUGAAGCAUUGCGAUCAUCUGAUGUGUCCCUCGAUGGGCAGGAAGCCUCCUACCUCUCGCUUCAGGUUGCAGUUGAUCUGGAGGGGCAUCCUGGGGAUGGUAGAGCCCAUUAGUGCAGGGUCAGCUUUCUUGCGGCAUGGCAAAUGCAGCAUCUUGCAUCUGAAAGGAGGAGAUGUACUCAGCUUAAGCAGCCGUAGUGCUGCCUCCAGAAUUGUCAGGAAUAACUUGGAGUCAGUUAAUAACCAAAAUCUGUUGAUGCCACUGGGAUGGAGAUGUGGUCCAUAUUGCAAAUGCUUGUCAUUCUUCUCCCCUUUAAAAGUAUGAGGCAGUGGACAUGCAUCUGGUCCUGCCAGCAUUACGAGUGCCGGCCUCCCAUCUGCAGCAGAUAAAAGACAGGGAUUAGAGCUGCAUGCCCUAGCUGCCAACCGUGGAGCUCUCAGCAACCACAAGAUGCAUUCUGGUGUGCUACACAUUUAGCUCUGUCUGCUGGAGAAGUAACAAAGGUCAAAUGAAAGAAAAUAUCACUCAGAAAAAUAUUACCAGACAUGUCACGCAGAACAUCUCUUCUUUCAACGAAUAAAACCAGCACAGAUUCACAACAGAGACCAGGGUCCAAAGUUUCCACAAGGAGAGGGUUGCCCCCUGCCAACAAAUCAUGCAGGUGGGAAAUUCAAAAAUGCUCCGUGCUGUAUAUGGGAAUGCCACUCUGUGCAUUUGCCAGCUUCCUCGGUGGGGCCGUUUGUUUUAUUGGAUAGUAUGGUAAGUGCUGGCCUGGAUUUAAAACGGGAAGAGUCGUGACACAUGCCUACCAUCAGGUGCUCAUCUGACAAGCCACCGUGUCAGCAGGGGGACAGCCAUAACUGCUUCCACGGCCAAGGGUCAGUGCCACUCUGGCACAGCAGAGACUGCUCCGUGCUGAAACCCAUCUGAGCUGUGGGACUUGCACAGAGCUGGAGCAGUCGUUGGCUCCAUGGGGAUCGCGUUUUUGCACAGGAGGAAAGCUCUCCUCCCUUGCUGGACACUAAUGUACAGCAGGAUAGCUGGGGAAUGAUUUCUGAGACAGUUUAAUGAAAAAGCUGGGGGCAAAGAGCCACCGAGCUGCUGUGGGAGCGUACUGGGGGAAUGUGAGAUGUGUAACUCCACACCCACCUAAAAUGAGCUCGCUCCUUGCCCAAAAUGAAGCCAUUCUGAAGCGCCUGUGAGCAGCUGCCCUUUGUUAUCCCUUGAAAUCAUCUACAGCACUGGGUGCAGAGACAAUGUUUCCUGCAUCAUCACCUUGUCCCCACCUUGUAGUGUUCUGUUAACAACCAGGAAAAAUGCCUUUUGGAGUGUGGGGAGGAACUUAGCUGAAGAAAAACACUGAUUUUAAUGGGAGUCAUGCUGCUAAUCCCAGCUGAGCACCUUCACAAAUUGACACUUGAUGUCUACACCUUAAAUAUUUUCUGAGGCGUUGAAGCAGAUAGGCCGGCUUUCACAUUUUUACUAGGCUUGGGAAAUGCUUUACAGUGUUGGUCUUUUUGUUCCUUGAGCGCUGCUAAUAUGCUUUGACACAGUGUGCACACUGGGUCUCCUUUCAGCAGGCCUUUGAGAUAAGCGACUUUCUGUGAGUUUAACUGAGAGUUGGCAGUCAUCAUUGAAGCCACAUUUCUAAAAGCCCCUCCGAACGGGACACGGGCACUGCGAAAUGCAGCCCCGAGCUGUCUCCAGCAGGGCCCCAGCCAGGAUCCGUGGGGUUCAUCAGCUGGGCACAGCAUCGCGCUUCGGGUCUGCGCUGCCUCGGUGCUGUGCUCCCCUGCUUGGUGCUUGCUUGCUGGAAGCAGAGAAAGGCACUCUGUGUGACUGACUUAAUCCGCUGACAGAGACAUCGCUGCUGCUCAUCUCCAGCACCUUGCUGGCAAGUGCAGGGAUGGAAAGGGCUUCUUGAGUCACUGACCUACGUUCCCUGUCUCUGCAGGCUCUACAUAAUGGGAAGCACUCGUGCAUUGUUCAGAGUCCACUUAUGCUCCAGUUCUACUUUCUGGACAGCUAUU
Molecule: long non-coding RNA, 2152 nt
Organism: Oxyura jamaicensis (ruddy duck)
Lineage: Eukaryota; Metazoa; Chordata; Aves; Anseriformes; Anatidae
Exons: 7
Source: RefSeq, a predicted model, not a curated record